RNAcentral lists this unclassified non-coding RNA (335 nucleotides) under soil metagenome. RNAcentral's name for it is "partial contains 5.8S ribosomal RNA, internal transcribed spacer 2, and large subunit ribosomal RNA". The stretch from base 1 to 119 matches the Rfam family "5.8S ribosomal RNA", at positions 35 to 154 of the family's 154-position model. The record is from RNAcentral.
GAUGAAGAACGUAGCGAAAUGCGAUAGUAAUGUGAAUUGCAGAAUUCAGUGAAUCAUCGAAUCUUUGAACGCACAUUGCGCCCGCCAGUAUUCUGGCGGGCAUGCCUGUUCGAGCGUCAUUUCAACCAUCAAGCCCCCGGCUUGUGUUGGGGACCUGCGGCUGCCGCAGGCCCUGAAAAGCAGUGGCGGGCUCGCUGUCACACCGAGCGUAGUAGCAUACAUCUCGCUCUGGGCGUGCUGCGGGUUCCGGCCGUUAAACCACCUUCAUAACCCAAGGUUGACCUCGGAUCAGGUAGGAAGACCCGCUGAACUUAAGCAUAUCAAUAAGCGGAGGA